ACGCUUAGGCACGAAGGCGUGGGUAUCAAACAGGAUUAGAUACCCUGGUAGUCCACGCAGUAAACUAUGAUUACUCGCUGUUUGCGAUACACAGUAAGCGGCUUAGCGAAAGCGUUAAGUAAUCCACCUGGGGAGUACGUUCGCAAGAAUGAAACUCAAAGGAAUUGACGGGGGCCCGCACAAGCGGAGGAACAUGUGGUUUAAUUCGAUGAUACGCGAGGAACCUUACCCGGGCUUGAAAUGCAUUUGACCGGCUCAGAGACGAGCCUUCCCUUCGGGGCAAAUGUGUAGGUGCUGCAUGGUUGUCGUCAGCUCGUGCCGUGAGGUGUCGGCUUAAGUGCCAUAACGAGCGCAACCCUCAUCAUUAGUUACUAACAGGUUAAGCUGAGGACUCUAGUGAGACUGCCAUCGUAAGAUGCGAGGAAGGUGGGGAUGACGUCAAAUCAGCACGGCCCUUAUGUCCGGGGCGACACGACUGUGUUACUAAUGGUAUGGUACAACGAGGCGAGCUACUUGGCG
This 519-nucleotide ribosomal RNA is filed under the name uncultured bacterium. Its description in RNAcentral is "bacterial SSU rRNA". It matches the Rfam family "Bacterial small subunit ribosomal RNA", at positions 743 to 1259 of the family's 1533-position model. The record is from RNAcentral.